This 398-nucleotide ribosomal RNA is filed under the name uncultured bacterium. RNAcentral describes it as "partial 16S ribosomal RNA". It matches the Rfam family "Bacterial small subunit ribosomal RNA", at positions 359 to 776 of the family's 1533-position model. The record is from RNAcentral.
UAUAUUGCACAUUGGAGGAAACUCUGUCGCAGCGACGCCGCGUGAACGACGAAUGCCAUCGGGUCGCAAAGUUCUGUCCUUGGGGACGAUAAUGACGGUACCCUAGGAGGCAGCACCGGCUAACUACGUCCCAGCAGCCGCUGUAAUACGUAGGGGGCAAGCGUUGUCCGGAUUUAUUCGGCGUAAAGGGUUCGCAGGCGGCCUUUUAAGUCAGAUGUGAAAGACUACAGCUCAACUGUGGUAAGCAUUUGAAACUGAAAGGCUUGAGUUAAGGAGAGGAAAGUAGAAUUCCUAGUGUAGCGGUGAAAUGCGUAGAUAUUAGGAGGAAUACCGGUGGCGAAGGCGACUUUCUGGACUUAUACUGACGCUGAGGAACGAAAGCGUGGGGAGCAAGCAGG